RNAcentral lists this ribosomal RNA (253 nucleotides) under uncultured bacterium. RNAcentral's name for it is "partial 16S ribosomal RNA". It matches the Rfam family "Bacterial small subunit ribosomal RNA", at positions 524 to 776 of the family's 1533-position model. The record is from RNAcentral.
UACGAAGGUGGCAAGCGUUGUUCGGAUUUACUGGGCGUAAAGGGCUCGUAGGCGGCCAACUAAGUCAGACGUGAAAUCCCUCGGCUUAACCGGGGAACUGCGUCUGAUACUGGAUGGCUUGAGAUUGGGAGAGGGAUGCGGAAUUCCAGGUGUAGCGGUGAAAUGCGUAGAUAUCUGGAGGAACGCCGGUGGCGAAGGCGGCAUCCUGGACCAACACUGACGCUGAGGAGCGAAAGCCAGGGGAGCAAACGGG